This 305-nucleotide ribosomal RNA is filed under the name uncultured bacterium. RNAcentral's name for it is "bacterial SSU rRNA". It matches the Rfam family "Bacterial small subunit ribosomal RNA", at positions 334 to 631 of the family's 1533-position model. The record is from RNAcentral.
UGUUCCUACGGGAGGCAGCAGUAGGGAAUUUUCGUCAAUGGGCGCAAGCCUGAACGAGCAAUGCCGCGUGAACGAGGAAGGUCUUCGGAUCGUAAAGUUCUGUUGAAGGGGAAAAAGAGCGGAGAGAGGAAAUGAACUCCGAUUGAUAUUACCCUUCGAGGAAGCCCCGGCUAACUACGUGCCAGCAGCCGCGGUAAUACGUAGGGGGCGAGCGUUAUCCGGAAUUACUGGGUGUAAAGGGAGCGUAGACGGCGAGGUAAGCCUGAAGUGGAAGCCCGCGGCCCAACCGCGGAACUGCUUUGGGA